RNAcentral lists this ribosomal RNA (409 nucleotides) under Bacillota bacterium. Its description in RNAcentral is "Firmicutes bacterium partial 16S ribosomal RNA". It matches the Rfam family "Bacterial small subunit ribosomal RNA", at positions 355 to 776 of the family's 1533-position model. The record is from RNAcentral. Lineage: Bacteria; Bacillati; Bacillota.
UGGGGAAUCUUGCGCAAUGGGCGAAAGCCUGACGCAGCGACGCCGCGUGCGGGAAGAAGGCCUUCGGGUUGUAAACCGCUUUCAGGGGGGAAGAAGCGAGAGUGACGGUACCCUCAGAAGAAGCCCCGGCCAACUACGUGCCAGCAGCCGCGGUAAUACGUAGGGGGCAAGCGUUGUCCGGAAUUAUUGGGCGUAAAGAGCUCGUAGGCGGUCCAUUAAGUCAGAUGUGAAAUCUCAGGGCUCAACCCUGAGCCUGCAUCUGAUACUGGUGGACUUGAGGCAGGUAGGGGAAGGUGGAAUUCCUGGUGUAGCGGUGAAAUGCGCAGAUAUCAGGAGGAACACCAGUGGCGAAGGCGGCCUUCUGGGCCUGUUCUGACGCUGAGGAGCGAAAGCGUGGGGAGCGAACAGG